AUGGCCCCUGCCUGGGAAGGACUGUCCGGGGUGGGGCCUCUGUGUGCCUCCAGCCUCUUUCCUGCAUCCAGGUUGAGCUGAUUGCUCGGGAGGAUACAGGGUGUCCUAUCCCAGGGGGAUGUGGAGCAAGCACGUGGUGUCUCUGUAGCACAGCUGUCCUGGGUCCGGGGCAGUGUACCUGCCUUCCUGGAGCCCAGGUCACACGGCUGUCUGUCACCACCUGCUGUCCUGUCCCACGUGGGGAGAGACGGGCAGGGGUCUGUGCUGCACGCACGUGCCCACCGCCCAGGACCUGAGUCCCUCCCCGCAGGGCCUCGGUGUGGUUUCUAGUUUCUCUGCAGGCCCUGGCACUGGGUGGCUUUAAGCUGCUGCUCACAUGUCUCAAAUGUACCUUGUAAGUCACAGAGCCACCUUCACACCAGCUGCACACAACCUUGUUUGCUUGUUCCUGGGGCUUAAACCUAACUAGCCGUGUUGUGCUAAGUUGCAGAGUUCAGUAUUUACACUAAAGCAGCUUCUUUUCAGCAAGCUGUGUUGCUUGCACAGAAUAUCUACCAAGUGUUUACACUCAGAUGAGUGAUGAGCUGGGCUGGGCCCCGUGUCCCUUCAAUGACAAUCAGUGAUAAGAGACUUCUUCUAUCACAGCCCUGCUUCCAAACCAUGUGUAGUCCCAGCUGGCUUUCCUGCCUGUGGCCGCACCUGCUCAGCCUCUGCUGCUUAGCUCCUCUGUCUCCUAAGGUUGCUAAACCCACUCUUGACUUUACAUUACAUGUUAAACAUAAAAAAUUAGAAGAGCUCUUUCUCUGUUUACCUAAGGCAAAGCUGCCUGAACCCCGAUGCCCACCGCGACCUUUGGCAGAAGUGCACGUGGGCAGAGACACCCAGAUAUAAGGUUCCUUCAGGGCGGAGGUUCUGUGUUUGUCUGCAAGUCUAACUCGUUACUUCCCCUUUGCUGACCGCAGCUUGUCCCCUUCCCAAGCCCUUCUCCACUAUACCCCCAGGUCCCGCUUCCCCUGUAUCUGGAAAAGCCUGCUCACAGUGCAGCAGGAUGGACCCUGACUCCAGGCUCCUCACCCAGCCUUGGCCUUGCCCCAGAGCUCACGGUGGGUGCUGGUGCGGGGAGCGGGGUGUGGUAUGGGGUAAGCAUCCAGCUCUCCUCUUCUAGAUCAAAGGCCUGGCAGCAAACUUUACCCCAUUGGCCAGAGCAACAUCAGCAAGGCAGGCAGAGAUGCACAGCUGGUGGCUGCAUCUGCAGAGCUGAGAACAACUGGGUCUUGGUCACACUCAGGCCGAGGAAGACUCUUGAGGAGACGCCACACCUCCUUCCAGCCUGACGCAGACAAGGAGCUGAAAGGAGAUCUCUGAGAUCCUGCUGCUGCCAUGAACCCAGAAGACCUCCGGGACUGCUCAGGGCAUCACCACAGAGGCUGUUUCCUCCAACUCUCGCCCUGCCGCCUGCCCAGCUGCUCUGCAAGGAUCACAGACCCUGAAGUGAACCCCAGUCUGGCCUUGUCGUCUCCCCCUUGUGUGACUGGAGCA
Molecule: long non-coding RNA, 1539 nt
Organism: Capra hircus (goat)
Lineage: Eukaryota; Metazoa; Chordata; Mammalia; Artiodactyla; Bovidae
Exons: 4
Source: RefSeq, a predicted model, not a curated record